CGUAGGUAUGCGAGCGUUGUCCGGAUUUAUUGGGCGUAAAGAGUUCGUAGGCGGUUCGUUAAGUUCGAUGUUAAAGAUCGGGGCCUAACCCGGGACUGCAUUGAAUACUGGCGGACUGGAGUGCAGUAGAGGCGAGUGGAAUUCCCAGUGUAGCGGUGAAAUGCGUAGAUAUUGGGAAGAACACCAGUGGCGUAAGCGACUCGCUGGGCUGUAACUGACGCUGAGGAACGAAAGCCAGGGUAGCGAAUGGGAUUAGAUACCCCAGUAGUCCUGGCCGUAAACGAUGGAUACUAGGCGUAGCGGGUAUCGACCCCUGCUGUGCCGCAGCUAACGCGAUAAGUAUCCCGCCUGAGUAGUACGGCCGCAAGGUUG
Molecule: ribosomal RNA, 372 nt
Filed under: uncultured organism
Description: bacterial SSU rRNA
Rfam family: Bacterial small subunit ribosomal RNA
Source: RNAcentral